CUCUCUCUCUCUCUCUCUCUCUCUCUCUCUGCUCUCCCUCCCUCCCUCAGCCCGCGGGAUCCGUGUUUUGCAUCGCUCCCCAAUUUGCAUUUAUUCCUCAGACUUUCCGUGCGGCGCUCCAGCCGUUCUUCUAGCGAGAGGUCGUACAACGGUGGCAGUAUCCACGCGGCCCGCGUUUACAGAACAAUACGCACAGUAGAACCCACUGGAACAUCUGAAUAAUGUUGCCGAAGCUUUCCGAAAGUACAAAUUGAGCGGUUUUUGGGUGUUUUUUUAAAAUCCAUUUGGAUCAAUCGCGUUUGGUUGCGCACCAGACGAGACACGUGCCUUCGAGGUAAACAGACAGCAGGACUGGACAGCCAGAUAGUAGCCUUGGUUAACGUUACAUUGUUUUUCUCCUGCGUUUUAAGCGUGCAUAAGCGGUUAUAACGCCACCAUAGUGGACGUAGACGUCGAGCGGAGGUUCAUUUUGUUUUCGUUUGUGCACCUUGGUUGAUAAUUGAGACGCAGUUGGACAUGUCGGAAGUACUACAAGACAAAAUGAGUCAUUAUGGAAAUGAGGAUGACGAGGGACACCUUUCCUUCACCUGUCGUCUCCAAGACACCAACAACUUCUUCAGCGGCUCGCAGGGGGGAAAACGCCCGCCCAAACUUGGACAGAUAGGCAGAAGCAAACGAGUUGUCGAGGACGAGAACGGUGUUGACGAGGCGCUAAAAAACGGGACAGAGAAAACACAGACAGAGGCUUAAACACAUCAACCCCCGGAAGGACAUAGAUUCUCAUUUUCUAUUUGAUCCAAAGACACUGUAUAUAAGCACUUUUACUCCAUGUGGCAGCAAGCACUUCCUGUCCCAUCUCCUCUCUCUCCCAGUCCUCAUGAUGAUCUCCUGAGACUUAUACUGGCAGGAUGGGGAAGCAGCCGAGAUGGAGACAGACAGAGAGAUGAAGACAGAGGUGGAGACAGAGAGAGUGAUGGAGACAGACAGAGAGAUGAAGACAGAGGUGGAGACAGAGAGAGAGACAGAGAUGAAGAGAGAGGCGGAGAGAGAGAGACAGAGAUGAAGAGAGAGGCAGAGAGAGACGGAUGAAGAGAGAGGCGGAGACAGAGAGAGAGACAGAUACAGAGACAGAGAUAAAGAGAGAGGCAGAGACAGAGAUGAAGACAGAGAUAAAGAGAGAGGCGGAGACAGAGAGAGAGGCGGAGACAGAGAUAAAGACAGAGACAGAGAUAAAGAGAGAGGCAGAGACAGAGAUGAAGACAGAGACAGAGAUGAAGAGAGAGAUAAAGAGAGAGGCGGAGACAGAGAGAGAGGCGGAGACAGAGAUAAAGACAGAGAUAAAGAGAGAGGCAGAGACAGAGAUGAAGACAGAGACAGAGAUGAAGAGAGAGACAGAGAUGAAGACAGAGAUGAAGAGAGAGACAGAGAUGAAGAGAGAGACAGAGAUGAAGAGAGCGACAGAGAUGAAGAGAGAGGCGGAGACAGAGGCCCAGGUGAAAUAGGUGAAUUCUAUCAUCCAGGGUUUAGGCCCACAGAACUCUUCUAAAACAGGAAUGGCCUAAGAGAGCUACUGGGUGAGCAGCAGGCUUUUGCUCCAGCCCUACACUUUUUUUACACUAGUCAACCAUUGGUCGUACAAUCAAAACUCCUAAGCAGGCAGCCAACAAAUGUAGCCGUGUAGAAAGGGUCUUUCACACACCAGAUUCAGCCAAUCAAGUUCCUGGGUAGCAGGUGAUUAGUAGAAUCAGGUGUGUUUACAGUAUGUUUGGAGCAGCUAAACCAUGUAACCAGGAGAGGAUGAUGAAGGAGGAAGAGGAUGAAUCUAAGGUUCCAGCGGUAGAAAGAGACGAUGCUUUCGAACCCUCACAGAAAUCAGGGAAGGAACAGUAUAAAAACAGUAUAAAUGAUCUACUUAACUAAAGCACACAUUGUUAUAUCAAUCAAACCGUAUGAUAUUACAUAACCAUUCUUUCUGCUCUUGAUUCUUAUGACGACGAGUGCAAACAAAUAAUAUAGGAAACGUGUAAAUAAGAAAUGGUAGCCCCACGUUUUGUUAGCCUGGACACCAGUCUGUUCCUGCUGUCUUGUCAACUCCUUAUGGAAUUGUCAUGUUUGGCGUCAGAAUGAGUGAUAAAGAGUUGGCAAGACAGCACAAAUAGAUCUGGAAACCAGGCUAGCGUUUUGUUGCACAGAGGAGAAAAGAAGCGUGAAAUGGUUUGUUGUAAUCUAACAUAACGUGUGUGUGUAAAGAUACCUUAUUUAUUGACCCUUUGGAUACGUAUUUUCCAGUGCUCAAGGCCUGACUGAGGGACAGUUUUGUAUGUAGAGAAUUGCGAUGACAGAAUGAAUGAAAGCGAUUUCCCCUUUUUUACUUCUUAUGAAUUUUUAUGUCGCCUGAUCAGUUUUUGCAGCUAUAGAGUCAUUUAUAUACGUUAUACAGGACUGUACAUCACAUGUUUGUAAUGUUCCAAGAGGCUUAAGUCUGGAUCGUUAAAUACAACUGUACACCCUCCCCUAUUGAUAAACUAUUUCUAUUGCAUUGCGCAUUAUCGUGUGUGCCAAAUAUCAUGAGGGAUAAGCAGACCACUUGGUUGUUUAUGUUGUGCUUUCUAUACCGUUAUAAAUGUAGACAUUUUGUUCUUCUUCGGUUGUUGCCAUUGUUCAGGGCUAUUUCUUACCACUGAAUUACCAACGCAUGCAUGGCAGAAAUGGGUGGAUGCAUGGCAGAAAUGGGUUGAUGCAUGGCAGAAAUGGGUUGAUGCAUGGCAGAAAUGGAUUGAUGCAUGGCAACGUUCUAAAGAUGAUCUUAGUGUAUUCUGGAACACCUGGUACCCAGCUUUGAACGACUAACCUCCAGAACCAUCUUAAUACUACAUACCUUGUACUGUACUGUACUGUACUAUGAUCUUACUGAUUUGUACUGUAGCCUAAUAUCUUGUAAUAAAGAUUCUGAAGAAGAUAAUUAAGAA
RNAcentral lists this long non-coding RNA (2969 nucleotides) under Salmo salar (Atlantic salmon). Its description in RNAcentral is "lncRNA (ENSSSAG00000096230.1)". The record is from RNAcentral. Lineage: Eukaryota; Metazoa; Chordata; Actinopteri; Salmoniformes; Salmonidae.